ACGGCUACCUUGUUACGACUUCACCCCAGUUACCGGGCCUGCCUUCGACAGCUCCUCCCUUGCGGUUAGGCCACUGGCUUCGGGCAUUCCUGGCUCCCAUGGUGUGACGGGCGGUGUGUACAAGACCCGGGAACGUAUUCACCGCAGCAUUCUGAUCUGCGAUUACUAGCGAUUCCAGCUUCAUACAGCCGGGUUGCAGGCUGUAAUCCGAACUGGGACGCCUUUUUUGUGCUUUGCUCCCCCUCGCAGGUUCGCCUCACUCUGUUGGCGCCAUUGUAGCACGUGUGUAGCCCAGCCCAUAAGGGGCAUGAUGAUUUGACGUCGUCCCCGCCUUCCUCCGGGUUAUCCCCGGCAGUCCUUACAGACCGCCCAGCCUUGCUGCUGGCUACUGUAAGCAGGGGUUGCGCUCGUUGCGGGACUUAACCCAACAUCUCACGACACGAGCUGACGACAACCAUGCACCACCUGUCUCUGCUGUCCCGUAAGAAAGCCCGCAUUACCGGGCUGCCAGCAUGAUGUCAAGGGCUGGUAAGGUUCUUCGCGUUGCUUCAAAUUAAACCACAAUGCUCCACCGCUUGUGCGGGUCC
This 587-nucleotide ribosomal RNA is filed under the name uncultured bacterium. RNAcentral describes it as "partial 16S ribosomal RNA". The record is from RNAcentral.